This 773-nucleotide ribosomal RNA is filed under the name uncultured Neocallimastigales. RNAcentral's name for it is "partial large subunit ribosomal RNA". It matches the Rfam family "Eukaryotic large subunit ribosomal RNA", at positions 24 to 633 of the family's 3401-position model. Lineage: Eukaryota; Fungi; Neocallimastigomycota; Neocallimastigomycetes; Neocallimastigales. The record is from RNAcentral.
UAGUCUCGCACAGAUGCAUAUCAAUAAGCGGAGGAAAAGAAACUAACAAGGAUUCCCCUAGUAACGGCGAGUGAAGCGGGAAGAGCUCAAAUUUGAAAUCUUAAAGGGUUUCCCUUUACGAAUUGUAGUUUAAAGAAGUGUUUUCUGUUGAGGUUUUGGUAAAAGUUCUUUGGAAUAGGACAUCAUAGAGGGUGAGAAUCCCGUAUUUGACCUUUACUUUCAACUUUGUGAUACACUUUCAAAGAGUCGGAUUGUUUGGGAAUGCAGUCCAAAAUGGGUGGUAAAUUUCAUCUAAAGCUAAAUAUUGGCGAGAGACCGAUAGCGAACAAGUACCGUGAGGGAAAGAUGAAAAGAACUUUGAAAAGAGAGUUAAACAGUACGUGAAAUUGUCAAAAGGGAAGCGUUUGACACCAGUGUUGUUUUUCUGAAAAUCAAUUAAAGAACUGUUUAUGCUAAGCUGUUUAGACUUUAUCAGCUAUCUGUUUAGUUUUGAGCUUUUCUUUAAUGCACUUUUCAGUUAACAAGUCAACAUCAAUUUCUUUUGCUGUAAAAAAGCUUGAGGAAGGUGGCUUGAGAUUCGUCUUAAGUGUUUAUAGCCUCUUGCCUAUGCAGUCGGAGAGAUUGAGGUCUGCAGCGUAGAUCCUUCGGGGCUAAAUGCAUUUGUGCUAAGUUAUAGCAUUUUAUAGACAACUUGUUGACUAUGAUUUGUCUUGUAGCUUACUCGCUUAUGUUAUUUUACCUACGCUUAGGAUGUUGAAGACUCUACAGAGAUA